ACAUCGGUUGCACAGUGGUCAGUGCAGUCUGUCGGAUACAGAAAGACGCGGGUUCAAUUCCCCUCCAAUGUC
RNAcentral lists this transfer RNA (72 nucleotides) under Nippostrongylus brasiliensis. It matches the Rfam family "tRNA". From Rfam's summary of the family: Transfer RNA (tRNA) molecules are approximately 80 nucleotides in length. Their secondary structure includes four short double-helical elements and three loops (D, anti-codon, and T loops). Further hydrogen bonds mediate the characteristic L-shaped molecular structure. tRNAs have two regions of fundamental functional importance: the anti-codon, which is responsible for specific mRNA codon recognition, and the 3' end, to which the tRNAs corresponding amino acid is attached (by aminoacyl-tRNA synthetases). tRNAs cope with the degeneracy of the genetic code in two manners: having more than one tRNA (with a specific anti-codon) for a particular amino acid; and 'wobble' base-pairing, i.e. permitting non-standard base-pairing at the 3rd anti-codon position. Lineage: Eukaryota; Metazoa; Nematoda; Chromadorea; Rhabditida; Heligmosomidae. The record is from Rfam by way of RNAcentral.